Paramisgurnus dabryanus is the source of this 1277-nucleotide long non-coding RNA. RefSeq lists it as uncharacterized. NCBI's taxonomy places the organism in Eukaryota, Metazoa, Chordata, Actinopteri, Cypriniformes, Cobitidae. The record is from RefSeq and is a predicted model, not a curated record.
AUUAACAGAACAUUCCCACAUGGUACUAUUUUGGUUAUAUCAUAACGUUCCCAAUAUGACUGUAGCGGGACGUUCCAUGUUGGUUACCCUGUGGUCACAUAAGAACGUUACAGAGAGGACACCUGAGACAUUAACAGAACAUUCCCACAUGGUACUAUUUUGGUUAUAUCAUAACGUUCCUGAUAUGACUGUAGGAAGACAUUCCAUAUUGGUUAUCCUGUGGUCACAUAAGAAUGUUACAGAGAGGACAUUUGGAACAUUAACAGAACAUUCCCACAUGGUACUAUUUUGGUCAUAUCAUAACAUUCCCAAUAUGACUGUAGCGGGACGUUCCAUGUUGGUUAUCCUGUGGUCACAUAAGAACGUCACAGAGAGACAUUUGGAACAUUUACAGAACCAUCCUACAUGGUCCUCUGUUGGUCAGAUAAUAAUGUUCCAGAUAUGACUUUAGGGGGACGUCCCAUAUUGGUUAUUCUGUGGUCACAUGGCAACGUUACAAAGAGGACAUUUGGAACAUUAAUAGAAUGUUCUCACAUGGUCCUCUGUUGGUCAUUUAAUAAUGUUCCUGAUAUCACUAGGAGGACAAAAUAUGAAAUUACAGUUAGAGCAUUUUAUUUUUAUAGGCAGUUAAUACAAAGGAUGUGUCAAUGUGCAGUGGACCAUACAAACAAAGUAAUAAAUAAAUGAUUUCAGAAUGAAGAAAAAUAAACGAGUGAUUCAGUCUGCACUAUCCUACAUCAGACAAAGACAAAUAGCAAUUAAAUAAGACUUUACAUUAAAUUGUGUUAACAAGCACAAAAAUACUAGUAAGUAAUACUAUACUAAUAUGUAUUAUGUUGUACUCUCUGAAUAUGAUGAUGUAGAAGGCAAUGCAUCUUGGAAACAGUAGUCCGUUACCAGCAACAGCGUUCAAUCCGCUUUAUGAAAAGGACUACCUUACCCAUAAUGCCACAGCUUACAAGAGGACCCGGAAGUCGCAUGAAAUUCAAACUGCCACACUUGACGACGCGUGAUCUUUGUUUUGUCUUUAUAUAAUACUGUAAGAAGUCAUGUACCACACAUUGUCAAACCUGAAGAAGUGUAUCUUCCUGCAAUCUGGGCUCCAGACCUGGAGAUUGAAGUUCCUAAAGGUUGAUGUUUAUCAAGCUUGUGACCUUAUUGCAUGGUGUUAUUUUUUUACAUUUAUAUAUCUAAUACACAUUUGCACAUCUGUAAACAUAAAUUUAAUAUUUUGUGGGUUAUUUUUAAAUUUUAUUUAACCAGUUGUUGUAUAUUGA